GCGACUGUGGUCUAACGGCUAUGACAUCGGCCUUCCAAGCCGAUUAUCCGGGUUCGAAUCCCGGCGGUCGCA
This 72-nucleotide transfer RNA is filed under the name Candidatus Woesearchaeota archaeon. Its description in RNAcentral is "tRNA-Gly". It matches the Rfam family "tRNA". From Rfam's summary of the family: Transfer RNA (tRNA) molecules are approximately 80 nucleotides in length. Their secondary structure includes four short double-helical elements and three loops (D, anti-codon, and T loops). Lineage: Archaea; Nanobdellati; Candidatus Woesearchaeota. The record is from RNAcentral.